This is a small nuclear RNA of Camelus dromedarius (Arabian camel), 105 nucleotides long. The record is from Ensembl. NCBI's taxonomy places the organism in Eukaryota, Metazoa, Chordata, Mammalia, Artiodactyla, Camelidae.
GUGCUCGCUGCGGCAGCCCGUAUGCUAAAACUGGAAUGAUGCAGAGAUUAGCAUGGCCCCCUACACAAGGAUGACACACAAAUUCGUGAAGCAUUCCAUAUUUUU